Molecule: ribosomal RNA, 253 nt
Filed under: uncultured prokaryote
Description: partial 16S ribosomal RNA
Rfam family: Bacterial small subunit ribosomal RNA
Source: RNAcentral
ACGGAGGGUGCAAGCGUUGCUCGGAAUCACUGGGCGUAAAGCGACCGCAGGCGGUCUGACAAGUCGGAUGUGAAAGCCCUGGGCUCAACUCAGGAAUUGCAUUCGAAACUGGCAGACUCGAGUACGGGAGAGGGGGGUGGAAUUCCUGGUGUAGGGGUGAAAUUCGUUGAUAUCAGGAGGAACACCGGCGGCGAAGGCGGCCCCCUGGCCCGCAACUGACGCUCAUGGUCGAAAGCGUGGGGAGCAAACAGGA